RNAcentral lists this transfer RNA (73 nucleotides) under Salmo salar (Atlantic salmon). It matches the Rfam family "tRNA". From Rfam's summary of the family: Transfer RNA (tRNA) molecules are approximately 80 nucleotides in length. Lineage: Eukaryota; Metazoa; Chordata; Actinopteri; Salmoniformes; Salmonidae. The record is from Rfam by way of RNAcentral.
GUCUCUGUAGCUCAGUUGGUAGAGCAUAGUGUUUGCAACGCCAGGGUUGUGGGUUUGAUUCCCACGGGGGGCC